Molecule: long non-coding RNA, 252 nt
Filed under: Homo sapiens (human)
Lineage: Eukaryota; Metazoa; Chordata; Mammalia; Primates; Hominidae
Description: HSALNT0389769
Source: RNAcentral
GUUGAGGGUCUCCAGGCCUGGAGUUGGCUGGCAGGAGUUGAGCAGGAAGCAGGUGGGCACGCAGGGCUGAGGAAUGUGGCAGGGUGGGGGACAGUUGUCACAGCAGGGCUGAGUGAAGGUGGUGAGGUUGAGGGUCUCCAGGCCCGGAGUUGGCUGGCAGGAGUUGAGCAGGAAGCAGGUGCUGGGCAGGCAGACUCCACAGCGGCAGGAUUUGUCGGAGGAGCAGAUGGUGGUGGCAGGCCCAGUGGGGAC